This 51-nucleotide transfer RNA is filed under the name Pinguinus impennis (great auk). Its description in RNAcentral is "partial tRNA-Trp". It matches the Rfam family "tRNA", at positions 21 to 71 of the family's 71-position model. Rfam says of the family: Transfer RNA (tRNA) molecules are approximately 80 nucleotides in length. Their secondary structure includes four short double-helical elements and three loops (D, anti-codon, and T loops). Further hydrogen bonds mediate the characteristic L-shaped molecular structure. tRNAs have two regions of fundamental functional importance: the anti-codon, which is responsible for specific mRNA codon recognition, and the 3' end, to which the tRNAs corresponding amino acid is attached (by aminoacyl-tRNA synthetases). tRNAs cope with the degeneracy of the genetic code in two manners: having more than one tRNA (with a specific anti-codon) for a particular amino acid; and 'wobble' base-pairing, i.e. permitting non-standard base-pairing at the 3rd anti-codon position. The record is from RNAcentral. Lineage: Eukaryota; Metazoa; Chordata; Aves; Charadriiformes; Laridae.
AACCGAAGGCCUUCAAAGCCUUAAACAAGAGUUAAACCCUCUUAGUUUCUG